Molecule: long non-coding RNA, 361 nt
Filed under: Setaria viridis
Lineage: Eukaryota; Viridiplantae; Streptophyta; Magnoliopsida; Poales; Poaceae
Description: long non-coding RNA (SVIR_LNC003173)
Source: RNAcentral
AAACUUAUACAAUUACUAUAUAUAUAAUAAUUUGUCAUCUUCAUUCUUAGAAUCCUCCCAUCGUAGUGUUGCUCGGUUUGGCUAUUGAAUGUCCGUCAUAAUAAAAUUCUCCCGCGGGAUUUAUCAUCUUGUCCACCAAAAAUUCUAUGAGACCUUCUUGGAUUGCCAAAAUCCUCUCCUUCUCCAAGAGUUUUUCUUGAAUUUGCAUCAUUUGUAAUUUGAGAAUAUGUGAAUGUUACACGAACAAUUAAAUAUAAGGAGCUAGAAAAUAAAUAAUUAUUAAUAGUUUUAUUUUACGUACAUGUAUAUAUUCCGACGAUAUCACCUUUUCAUGCACAAAAUUAUUCAUGUGCUCACAGAC